Molecule: ribosomal RNA, 511 nt
Filed under: uncultured bacterium
Lineage: Bacteria
Description: bacterial SSU rRNA
Rfam family: Bacterial small subunit ribosomal RNA
Source: RNAcentral
GAGUUUGAUCAUGGCUCAGAACGAACGCUGGCGGCAGGCCUAAUACAUGCAAGUCGAGCGGACCUUUCGGGGUCAGCGGCGGACGGGUGAGUAACGCGUGGGAACAUGCCUUUCGGUGCGGAAUAACCGUUGGAAACGGCGGCUAAUGCUGCAUACGCCCUGAGUGGGGAAAGAUUUAUCGCCGAGGGAUUGGCCCGCGUUGGAUUAGGUAGUUGGUGGGGUAAAGGCCUACCAAGCCGACGAUCCAUAGCUGGUCUGAGAGGAUGAUCAGCCACACUGGGACUGAGACACGGCCCAGACUCCUACGGGAGGCAGCAGUAGGGAAUAUUGGACAAUGGGGGAAACCCUGAUCCAGCCAUGCCGCGUGAGUGAAGAAGGCCUUAGGGUUGUAAAGCUCUUUCACUGGCGAGGAUGAUGACGGUAGCCAGAGAAGAAGCCCCGGCAAACUUCGUGCCAGCAGCCGCGGUAAUACGAAGGGGGCGAGCGUUGUUCGGAAUUACUGGGCGUGAAG